This 505-nucleotide ribosomal RNA is filed under the name uncultured bacterium. RNAcentral describes it as "bacterial SSU rRNA". It matches the Rfam family "Bacterial small subunit ribosomal RNA", at positions 25 to 518 of the family's 1533-position model. The record is from RNAcentral.
CAGGAUGAACGCUAGCUACAGGCUUAACACAUGCAAGUCGAGGGGCAGCAUGGAGGUUGCUUGCAACUUCUGAUGGCGACCGGCGCACGGGUGAGUAACGCGUAUCCAACCUUCCCCCUAGUAGGGUCCAGCCCGGCGAAAGUCGAAUUAAUACCCUAUGUUCUUCAAUGAUGACAUCAGGAUUGAAGCAAAGAUUCAUCGCUAGUGGAUGGGGAUGCGUCUGAUUAGCUUGAUGGCGGGGUAACGGCCCACCAUGGCGACGAUCAGUAGGGGUUCUGAGAGGAAGGUCCCCCACAUUGGAACUGAGACACGGUCCAAACUCCUACGGGAGGCAGCAGUGAGGAAUAUUGGUCAAUGGAGGCAACUCUGAACCAGCCAAGUAGCGUGCAGGAAGGACGGCCCUAUGGGUUGUAAACUGCUUUUAUGAGGGGAUAAAUUGCGCCACGCGUGGCGUUUUGCAUGUACCUCAUGAAUAAGGACCGGCUAAUUCCGUGCCAGCAGCCGC